This 74-nucleotide transfer RNA is filed under the name Spirochaetota bacterium. RNAcentral describes it as "Spirochaetes bacterium (hot springs metagenome) tRNA-Gln". It matches the Rfam family "tRNA". Rfam says of the family: Transfer RNA (tRNA) molecules are approximately 80 nucleotides in length. Their secondary structure includes four short double-helical elements and three loops (D, anti-codon, and T loops). Lineage: Bacteria; Pseudomonadati; Spirochaetota. The record is from RNAcentral.
UGGGGCGUCGUCUAAAGGUAGGACAGCAGACUCUGGAUCUGCUUGUGAGGGUUCGAUUCCUUCCGCCCCAGCCA